Long non-coding RNA from Pseudopipra pipra, 1985 nucleotides. RefSeq lists it as uncharacterized. Lineage: Eukaryota; Metazoa; Chordata; Aves; Passeriformes; Pipridae. The record is from RefSeq and is a predicted model, not a curated record. The transcript has 5 exons.
CUGACAGCCCCAAAGAUAGGUGCUAACUGGUCUGACUGCUGGGAGGAUAACAGUUGAAGCACAGAGGACCAAGAUUUUGGGAAGUUGACCAAAGAGAAUGGCAAAAACUUGUGGGUGUGAGGGAGACUACAGACCUACAGGCAGGAAGUCUGAUGCUACCAAAAGGAAAAAGAAAUUGUGGGGACACCAACAUCAGAAACACAUUUCAACCUUUAAAGGACUCGUGAAAAUAUACGUUCAGCCUUGCUUUUCUACGUUUAGAUCAAGUGAUGGCGCCAAGAUGUAUCCUUCUGUGGCAAAUAAUUCACAGAUUCCAACUCUUUGGAGAACCCAAAAACUUAUGCCACUGUACCUUCAGCAGUAUUUCCCUGGACCGUGGAUUAAGUUUGCUGAAGCAAAAAAAUGACGAUCUGUCUGAUCUGUUCCAACAGCACUGCCAGACAAAGGCUGAAGCUGUUGUGGAAGCUGCUGUCUAACUGUGUUCAUGUUUCACAUCUGAUGGAUUCAGUUUGUCUGCACUCCUCAGACUUCUUUCUAGAAGACAGAGUACAUUCUUUCCAAUUUAUUGUAAUUCCUGCAUUGCAGGGAAUGACAGAAUGGAUUAUUUGAUAAUUCGAAAUAGACAUUAGGAUAUAUUUUUUGGAGGUGUUUCACACAUCUCCUUCCUUAUCUCUGUCUGCAUGCAUAAGAAGCAAGGGCAAGGAGGACUUGCAUCAGUAUUUGGGAAGAUGAGAGUAUGCCAGUUGUGUCCAUCAGAAGAUAAUAGACUGACAUGGGAGGUGUGACUGGGAGCUGAUCCAUAGGACCUGUGGCAGGAGCACACCAAAAGUGGCAGGCACAAGGCACCAGGGGCACACUCAGAACUGUGGCCUUCACCACACCACGCUUACAGUAAUACAGAUGUCUCUUAACACUAAACCCAGAAACUUAUUUAGUUCUGAAGACACUGUCACGUAGCAAAACUUUUGGUGGCUCCCUCGUGCGAGUUGAAAUAUGUAUUUAUGAGUGGCAAAAUUUUCAUAGAAUCACAGAAUACACUGAGUUGAAAGGGACCUACCAGGAUCAUCGAGUUCAUCUCCUGGCCCUGCACAGGACCAUCCUCUACAGUCACACCAUGUGCCUGAGAGUGUUGUCCAAACACCUCUUGAACUCUGUCAGUCUUGGUGCUGUGACCGCUUCCCUGGGGAGCCUGCUCCAGUGCCCAACCACCCCCUGGGUGAAAAUAUUUUCCUGAUAAACGACCUAAACCUCCCCUGGCUCAGCUCCAGCCUGGAUUCCUGUCACUGGUCACAAGAGUGAAGAGGUUGCUACCUGCUCCUCUGCUUCCCCUGAUGAGGAUGUUGAAGACUGCAGUGAGGUUUCCCCUCAGUCUCCUCUUCUCCAGGCUGAACAGAUCAAGUGCCAUCAGCCACCCUUCAUACAGUUUCCCCUCCAGACUCUUCACCACCUUCAUGGCUCUCCUUUGGACACUUUCCAAAGGCUUCAUGCCUUUUCUAUGUUGUGGUACCAAAACUGCCCACAGUACUCAAGGUGAGGAUGCACCAGUGCAGAGCAGAGCGGGACAAUCACCUCCUUUAUCUCUUUUAUGAUGGAGAAGUCUGGUAAGAAAAUUCCAGGAUAUACAAACCAAAUAUAUAUAGAAAAUGACUGCUCUUCCUUAGUGUGUGUAGGAGACUCAUCAGAAAAUGACAGCUCUGUCUUAAUUUCCAUUAUGCUGAGACCCUUCUACAGUCUCUGUCAAAGGGAAAGAACCUGAACAACGGCCUAGGAAAAAACUCCUCAAUUUCUUGUACAACAAGCUUCCCACUCAGUAAAGUACAUAAUGAUGAAAACCCACAUGAAAAUGCUUCAAUUUAAACACUACAGAUGAUUCUGUAUGACCUCAGUGCAGAUGAAGUGCAGAAAUAUUUUGAAGUCAGUUUAAGCCCUUUUUACAGGAAUCAAAAUAAACUACAAAAGCGCCAAUCAACCACAAUAAUAUAUUU